RNAcentral lists this long non-coding RNA (1651 nucleotides) under Marmota monax (woodchuck). Lineage: Eukaryota; Metazoa; Chordata; Mammalia; Rodentia; Sciuridae. The record is from RNAcentral.
AUGAUUCAUACACAGGGAAGAAAAGAAGUAGGUGAAAACCACUUUUUUUAUGUCAGAAAGUAAAUUAAUAAAACCAACAGUUAGUUCUCAUAAUUGACAUGUUUAGCUAAACUAAUCAAGAAAAGAGAGAGAAUAGUAGAGAAUAGUCAAGUUAUUAAAAUCAAGGCAAAAACAGACUAUCACUAAUAACCUUACAAAAAGUAAAAGAAAAUGAUAUAAAUAAUUCUAUGCCAAUAAGAUUAAUAAUAUAAAUGAUAUGGACAAAUUUCUAGAAAGACAUAAAGUACCUAAAAACUGAAAACUCAAAAAUAAAUGGAAAAGUUUACUAGACCAACCUAUAGUAAAGGAUUAAAUUAUAUAUUUGGAAAAAUAAACCCAAAAUAUAAAACACUGUGCAAGAAAAAUUCAGAUACAAAUGGCUUCACUGAUGAGUUUUACCAAAUUUUCAAAGAAAAAUCAAUACCAAUGUUUCACAAACUCUUACAAAACUAGGAAAGUGGAGAAUACAUUCCAACUUAUUCUAUAAUUAUCCUAAUACCAGAAGAUAUCACAUUAAAUAUCAAAUAUGCAAGAAAAUAAAUAAAAAUAAACUCUAGACACUAAACUCCUUUAUGACUAGGAAUGCAAAAACCCUCCAUAAAAUAUGAAACUGAGCUAGGUUCAGUGGUGUAUGCCUAUAAUUCCAGUGGCUCAUGAGGUUCAGGCAGGAGGAUGGUGAUUUCAAAGCAAGCCUCAGCAACUUAGUGAGGACCUAAGUAAUUGAGCAAGACUCUGUCUUUAAAUAAAAAAUAAAAAGUGCUGGGGAUGUGGCUCAGUGACUAAGCAUCUCUGAGUUCAAUCCCUGGUACAAAAAAAAAAAAUUAUCAAAUUGAAUUUAACAAGAAUCUAACAACAUAUAAAGGGACCUACAGAAACUUUAUAUGGUGGGACAAUUUAAUAAAUACCAUAUGCUCUGACAUGUAGUGCACUAUACAGUACAUAGCAUCACCUGUGAGGCAUUUUGCCAAAUAAAUAACUUAAAAAGGAGAAGAGGGGAAUGGGGGGAAGAAGUUGUUAAGCUGAACCUAAGUUUUUAGAUCUAACCUCCAAUAUAUAGCAUAAUCAAGGACUAAAUGAACAAAUUAAUUGCCACUGAAGUAAAAGAAUAGGCCAAAAAAUGUGAUGUACUCUGUGAGUAAAAUGAUCUGAUCUCUUCAAGAAGUCAGUGUAUUAGGGGGUAAUGUAAGCUCUGUCACAGAACAAAAGUGAUUAAAGAGAUAUCAGGAACAAAAUGCAAUAUACAGACCUCAACUAACUUUUGUUUAAACAAAUAAAUAACAGAAUUAGAAAACAUAUUUGGGAAAAAUCAGGGAAAAUUGAAUGAGGUCUGUACAUUAGCUGACAUAAGGAAUUGCUCUUUUUUGAUGUAAUAAUGAAAAAUAAUGAUUUUGUAUGACAGUGUUCUUAUUUUGGGCAGAUGCAUGCUGAAAUAUUUAGAAAUGUUCUAUCUAUAAAGUUUGUUAAAAUUUUCAACAAACAAGAACAAAACAGACAGCUAAAGAAAUUAUAAAGUAUCAAUACUUGAAUCUACUUCGAUAGUAUGUGGAGCCUAUUGGACUAUUCUUUUGUCCGCAACUACCAUUUUUUUUGCAAGAAAAACUUGGAAAAAAAU